UUUGCGGCAUUUGCGCGAAUUUGAAGCACCUGUAAUUAGUUUAUUGUCCUCCGUUUAGGCUGACAGCACCCUUAAAAGAAACGUGGCCGUUUAAAUCGGCCCACAACUACUCAGGAUGCGGAGUCUGACGUCGCGUCGUGCUGCCGCUGCGUGUCCACGAGAAUUGUCGUGUGGAAACCCGUAUGAACUUUUAGUCUGGUGCAGCGUGGUCCUCGUUCCUGUGGUGCCAUAGAGCCUGCGAGCGCCAUCAUCAUUGCCGGUUCGUGUUACAACCAAGGUUAUCUACGAGAGGCGUCGCGAGGCCCAGCCAAGACUUUAAACGUCAGGGUGGACAUUGUCUCGCACCUCAAGGAAGCAUCCGGCGGCACAAGCUGUCCAUCUGCCAGUGACACAUAGUGGCAAGAUGGCAGUUGCAGCACUUGCUGCUCUUGGCAUCCUAUGUCUACAAGCUCAACCACCUGGGGUCUCAUUCACAUUCACCACGGUGCACCCGACAAGAUUCAAAUAGGCCACUUCGUGCUGCCGCCGUCCUGCAUCGUCGUGCAUUGGGGCCUACGAGCCUCAAGCAAUGUCAUCGCGAUAAAGACUACAGUUUUACGAAAGGUAAGGUCCAAGCUCGGGAAGGUGAGUGUCUUCAUUCAACUGU
Molecule: long non-coding RNA, 646 nt
Organism: Ixodes scapularis (black-legged tick)
Lineage: Eukaryota; Metazoa; Arthropoda; Arachnida; Ixodida; Ixodidae
Exons: 3
Source: RefSeq, a predicted model, not a curated record